This 331-nucleotide long non-coding RNA is filed under the name Arabidopsis lyrata. RNAcentral's name for it is "long non-coding RNA (ALYR_LNC003173)". The record is from RNAcentral. Lineage: Eukaryota; Viridiplantae; Streptophyta; Magnoliopsida; Brassicales; Brassicaceae.
AAAAGUCGCUGAAGCCGUCGACAAAGACGAACUCACCGUCGAAGAACGUAAUCUCCUCUCCGUCGCUUACAAAAACGUAAUCGGCGCUCGUCGUGCUUCCUGGAGAAUCAUCUCUUCCAUUGAACAAAAGGAAGAGAGUCGUGGUAACGAUGACCAUGUAACCACGAUCCGUGAUUACAGAAGCAAGAUCGAAUCUGAGUUAUCGAAAAUCUGUGACGGUAUUCUUAAGCUUCUUGAUACUAGACUUGUUCCAGCUUCUGCUAAUGGAGAUUCAAAGGUUUUUUACCUUAAGAUGAAGGGAGAUUAUCAUAGGUAUUUGGCUGAGUUUAAG